This 105-nucleotide ribosomal RNA is filed under the name Cebus imitator (Panamanian white-faced capuchin). The record is from RNAcentral. Lineage: Eukaryota; Metazoa; Chordata; Mammalia; Primates; Cebidae.
UCCAUGGGGCAUAGCCGCCUGAGGGCACCUCAUCACAGAAGCUAAGCAGGGUUUGGCUUAACCAAGACUUGCAUGGGGGACCACCUGGGGAGACUGGGCCUGGAG